This is a non-coding RNA of Misgurnus anguillicaudatus (oriental weatherfish), 843 nucleotides long. NCBI's taxonomy places the organism in Eukaryota, Metazoa, Chordata, Actinopteri, Cypriniformes, Cobitidae. The record is from RefSeq and is a predicted model, not a curated record.
AAUAAAGAAAGCUGUUUCUGCAGAUUCAAAUUUACAAAACAUUUUGCCAGCACACAUGACGUGUGCUAGCAUUGAUUUACCGCAAGAGGUUCUUGACAAAGUACCUGACUACCUGUGGGCUAAAGAUAAAUAUGAUGUGGGUUUGAUUAAAGGGUGUGAACCAGUAGUUAUCACCCCAAAGAGUGAUUACAGACCAUGCAAACCUCAAUACCCUCUGCAAAGGGAGGCGCUUGAGGGAAUAAGGCCAGUAUUUGAGGCCUUAUUGGAGAAAGGGAAAAUUGUUCCCUGCCCAAACUCACCUGUGAGAACACCCAUUUUUCCUGUACAAAAGGUCAGAGAUGCAGGUCAGCCCACAGAGUGGAGGUUUGUUCAAGACCUCCAAGCAGUAAAUGCUGCGGUGCAGGUAAGGGCACCAAACGUGCCGAACCCUUACACAAUUCUCUCACAGAUACCAGCUGACGGCCAGUGGUUUUCUGUAGUGGAUAUUUCAAAUGCAUCUUUCAGUUUCCUGUCCAUCCUGAUAGCCAGUUUUGGUUUACUUUUAUAUUUGAGGGGUACAGCGAGAGCCCCACGAUUUACAACUCUGCAUUGCAUUGUUCAUUUCAGAAACUUGUGUUGGAUGAUGAUGUUGCUUUAUUGCAGUACGUGGAUGACCUCUUGGUGGCGGCACCAACUCAGCAGUCGUGCACAGACAACACCAUACGGUUGCUCACUCAUCUAGCUGAGGAGGGCCACAAGGUCAACCCCAAGAAGGUACAGUGCUCUGUCCAGAAAGUAACCUUUCUAGGACACGAAAUUACACCAAUGGGUAAGUCUCUCUCUCCAAAGAGAAUAGAGGCGAUA